AUGUAUGCCGUGAGCAGUUUUCCGUGUUUUUUUUUCAUUUCCAUACCCCUCCCUAGCUGGGAGUUAGGUUCCAUUACCACAAUGAUAACGGAACAGAAACGAGAAGUUUGCACAUUGUUCGGAGCGAGAUUAUAUGUAUAUCUGAUCGGUUGCGCUGUGAUUCAUUACCGUUGCACUAAAAUCAAGUACAAAAUUCUUGUAGAUUGUAUUAAACCCCCUGAGUUAACCCCAUAUGUUUGUUCCCUCGCCAAAUGGAUACCGCUGUUUGAAUUUUUUAUGUCGGUUUUGUUUACAAGAGCAUACGAAAAAAGUUUGUCCGUACCCCACUGUUUCUAUUUUUGCUACUGCUGA
RNAcentral lists this ribosomal RNA (351 nucleotides) under Triticum aestivum (bread wheat). RNAcentral's name for it is "partial small subunit ribosomal RNA". Lineage: Eukaryota; Viridiplantae; Streptophyta; Magnoliopsida; Poales; Poaceae. The record is from RNAcentral.